AGCAGCCGCGGUAAUUCCAGCUCCAAUAGCGUAUAUUAAAGUUGUUGCAGUUAAAAAGCUCGUAGUUGAAUUUCGGGAUUGACACAUCGGUCGUGCCUUAAGGGGUAUGAACUGGUGUAGUCAAUUUCUCACCUUCUGGAGAACCGCGAUGCCCUUAAUUGGGUGUCGCGGGGAACCAGGACCUUUACUUUGAAAAAAUUAGAGUGUUUAAAGCAGGCAUUUUGCUUGAAUACAUUAGCAUGGAAUAAUAAAAUAGGACGGCAUGAUUCUAUUUUGUUGGUUUCUAGGAUCACCGUAAUGAUUAAUAGGGAUAGUUGGGGGCAUUAGUAUUCAAUUGUCAGAGGUGAAAUUCUUGGAUUUAUUGAAGACUAACUACUGCGAAAGCAUUUGCCAAGGAUGUUUUCAUUAAUCAAGAACGAAAGUUAGGGAUCGAAGACGAUCAGAUACCGU
RNAcentral lists this ribosomal RNA (450 nucleotides) under uncultured Glomeromycotina. RNAcentral's name for it is "SSU rRNA". It matches the Rfam family "Eukaryotic small subunit ribosomal RNA", at positions 569 to 1018 of the family's 1831-position model. The record is from RNAcentral. Lineage: Eukaryota; Fungi; Glomeromycota.